This 494-nucleotide ribosomal RNA is filed under the name Brachymonas sp. canine oral taxon 015. RNAcentral's name for it is "bacterial SSU rRNA". It matches the Rfam family "Bacterial small subunit ribosomal RNA", at positions 9 to 496 of the family's 1533-position model. Lineage: Bacteria; Pseudomonadati; Pseudomonadota; Betaproteobacteria; Burkholderiales; Comamonadaceae. The record is from RNAcentral.
GAGUUUGAUUAUGGCUCAGAUUGAACGCUGGCGGCAUGCUUUACACAUGCAAGUCGAACGGCAGCACAGGGAGCUUGCUCCUGGGUGGCGAGUGGCGAACGGGUGAGUAAUGUAUCGGAACGUGCCUGGUAGUGGGGGAUAACUACUCGAAAGAGUGGCUAAUACCGCAUGAGAUCUUUGGAUGAAAGCGGGGGACCUUCGGGCCUCGCGCUACUGGAGCGGCCGAUAUCAGAUUAGGUUGUUGGUGGGGUAAAGGCCUACCAAGCCUGCGAUCUGUAGCUGGUCUGAGAGGACGACCAGCCACACUGGGACUGAGACACGGCCCAGACUCCUACGGGAGGCAGCAGUGGGGAAUUUUGGACAAUGGGCGCAAGCCUGAUCCAGCAAUGCCGCGUGCAGGACGAAGGCCUUCGGGUUGUAAACUGCUUUUGUACAGAACGAAAAGUCUCUGGCUAAUAUCUGGAGAUCAUGACGUACUUAAGAAUAAGCACCGG